CCUACGGGUGGCAGCAGUGGGGGAUAUUGCACAAUGGGCGGAACCCUGAUGCAGCGACGCCGCGUGGGUGAAGAAGCGCCUCGGCGCGUAAAGCUCUGUCAGCAGGGAAGAAAAUGAGGGUACCUGAAGAUGCAGCCCCGGCUAACUACGUGCCAGCAGCCGCGGUAAUACGUAGGGGGCACGCGUUAUCCGGAUUGACUGGGUGUAAAGGGGGCGCAGACGGCGAUGCAAGCCAGGAGUGAAAGCCCUGGGCUCAACCCCGGGAGUGCUCUUGGAACUGCGUGGCUGGAGUGCAGGAGAGGCAGGGGGAAUUCCAGGUGUAGCGGUGAAAUGCGUAGAUAUCAGGAGGAACACCGGUGGCGAAGGCGACCUGCUGGACUGCAACUGACGUUGAGGCCCGAAAGCGUGGGGAGCAAACAGGAUUAGAUACCCCGGUAGUC
Molecule: ribosomal RNA, 440 nt
Filed under: uncultured bacterium
Lineage: Bacteria
Description: partial 16S ribosomal RNA
Rfam family: Bacterial small subunit ribosomal RNA
Source: RNAcentral